UGGGGAAUCUUGCCCAAUGGGCGAAAGCCUGAGGCAGCAACGCCGCGUGUGGGAUGACGGCCCUCGGGUUGUAAACCACUUUCAGCAGGGACGAAAAUGACGGUACCUGCAGAAGAAGCUCCGGCCAACUACGUGCCAGCAGCCGCGGUAAUACGUAGGGAGCGAGCGUUGUCCGGAUUUAUUGGGCGUAAAGCGCGCGUAGGCGGUUUGGUAAGUCGGGUGUGAAACCUCCAAGCUUAACUUGGAGCUGCCACUCGAAACUGUCAUGACUUGAGUUCGGUAGGGGAACACGGAAUUCCAGGUGUAGCGGUGAAAUGCUUAGAUAUCUGGAGGAACACCAGUGGCGAAGGCGGUGUUCUGGGCCGAUACUGACGCUGAUGCGCGAAAGCGUGGGGAGCGAACAG
Molecule: ribosomal RNA, 404 nt
Filed under: uncultured bacterium
Lineage: Bacteria
Description: bacterial SSU rRNA
Rfam family: Bacterial small subunit ribosomal RNA
Source: RNAcentral